AUUGAACGCUGGCGGCAUGCCUUACACAUGCAAGUCGAACGGUAACAGGUCUUCGGAUGCUGACGAGUGGCGAACGGGUGAGUAAUACAUCGGAACGUGCCUAGUAGUGGGGGAUAACUACUCGAAAGAGUGGCUAAUACCGCAUGAGAUCUACGGAUGAAAGCAGGGGAUCGCAAGACCUUGUGCUACUAGAGCGGCCGAUGGCAGAUUAGGGAGUUGGUGGGAUAAAAGCUUACCAAGCCGACGAGCUGUAGCUGGUCUGAGAGGACGUUCAGCCACACUGGGGCUGGGACACGGCCCAGACUCCGACGGGAGGCAGAAUGGGGGAAUUUUGUACAAUGGGCUAAAGCCUGAUCCAUCAAUGCCGCGUUCAUGAUGAAGGCCUUCUGGUUGUAAACUGCUUUUGUACGGAACGAAAAGCCCCGGGUUAAUACCCUGGGGUCAUGACGGUACCGUAAGAAUAAGCACCGGCUAACUACGUGCCAGCCGCCGCAGUAA
RNAcentral lists this ribosomal RNA (498 nucleotides) under uncultured bacterium. RNAcentral's name for it is "partial 16S ribosomal RNA". It matches the Rfam family "Bacterial small subunit ribosomal RNA", at positions 30 to 523 of the family's 1533-position model. The record is from RNAcentral.